CAGUCGCCGCGGGAAUACGUAGGGUGCAAGCGUUAAUCGGAAUUACUGGGCGUAAAGCGUGCGCAGGCGGUUAUAUAAGACAGAUGUGAAAUCCCCGGGCUCAACCUGGGAACUGCAUUUGUGACUGUAUAGCUAGAGUACGGCAGAGGGGGAUGGAAUUCCGCGUGUAGCAGUGAAAUGCGUAGAUAUGCGGAGGAACACCGAUGGCGAAGGCAAUCCCCUGGGCCUGUACUGACGCUCAUGCACGAAAGCGUGGGGAGCAAACAGGAUUAGAUACCCCGGUAGUCACUGUCUCUUAUAC
Molecule: ribosomal RNA, 301 nt
Filed under: uncultured bacterium
Lineage: Bacteria
Description: partial 16S ribosomal RNA
Rfam family: Bacterial small subunit ribosomal RNA
Source: RNAcentral